This 460-nucleotide ribosomal RNA is filed under the name uncultured bacterium. RNAcentral's name for it is "partial 16S ribosomal RNA". It matches the Rfam family "Bacterial small subunit ribosomal RNA", at positions 338 to 795 of the family's 1533-position model. The record is from RNAcentral.
CCUACGGGAGGCAGCAGUGAGGAAUAUUGGUCAAUGGACGAGAGUCUGAACCAGCCAAGUAGCGUGAAGGAUGACUGCCCUAUGGGUUGUAAACUUCUUUUAUAUGGGAGUAAAAUGUUCCACGUGUGGGAUUUUGUAUGUACCAUAUGAAUAAGGAUCGGCUAACGCCGUGCGAGCAGCCGCGGUGAUACGGGGGAUCCGAGCGUUAUCCGGGUUUGUUGGGGUUAAAGGGAGCGUAGGUGGAUUGUUAAGGCAGUUGUGAAAGUUUGCGGCUCAACCGUAAAAUUGCAGUUGAAACUGGCAGUCUUGAGUACAGUAGAGGUGGGCGGAAUUCGUGGUGUAGCGGGGAAAUGCUUAGAUAUCACGAAGAACUCCGAUUGCGAAGGCAGCUCACUGGACUGCAACUGACACUGAGGCUCGAAAGUGUGGGUAUCAAACAGGAUUAGAUACCCUUGUAGUC